RNAcentral lists this transfer RNA (85 nucleotides) under Felis catus (domestic cat). It matches the Rfam family "tRNA". Rfam says of the family: Transfer RNA (tRNA) molecules are approximately 80 nucleotides in length. Their secondary structure includes four short double-helical elements and three loops (D, anti-codon, and T loops). Lineage: Eukaryota; Metazoa; Chordata; Mammalia; Carnivora; Felidae. RNAcentral also lists the same sequence under 2 other names. The record is from Rfam by way of RNAcentral.
GCCUGGGUGGCUCAGUCGGUUAAGCAUCUGACUUCGGCUCAGGUCAUGAUCUCACGAUUUGUGAGUUCGAGCCCCACAUCAGGCU